This 1402-nucleotide ribosomal RNA is filed under the name Mesonia sp. CHS4. RNAcentral describes it as "16S ribosomal RNA". It matches the Rfam family "Bacterial small subunit ribosomal RNA". The record is from RNAcentral. Lineage: Bacteria; Pseudomonadati; Bacteroidota; Flavobacteriia; Flavobacteriales; Flavobacteriaceae.
AGUCGAGCGGUACAGCAGAGCUUGCUCUGCCUGACGAAUGACGCACGGAUGCGUAACGCGUAUAUAUCUGCCUAUUACUGGGGUAUAGCCCGAAGAAAUUUGCAUUAACCCCCCAUAGUAUUGAGAUAAGGCAUCUUAUUUCUUUAACUCCCCGUUCGGUUAAUAAAUGAAUAGGCGUCCUAUUAGUUUGUUGGUAAGGUAACGGCUUACCAAGACUUCGAUAGGGAGGGGUCCUGAGAGGCAGAUCCCCCACACUCGAACUGAGACACGAACCACACUCCUACGGAAAGCAGCAGUGAAGAAUAUUGUGACAAUGGAAGCAACUCUGAUCCAGCCAUGCCGCGUGCAAGAAGACUGCCCUAUGGGUUGUAAACUGCUUUUAAAAAGGAACAAACCUCCCUUCCUGAAGAGGAAUUGACGGCACUUCUACGAAUAAGGAUCGGCUAACUCCGUGCCAGCAGCCGCGGUAAUAAGGAGGAUCAAGCCGUUAUCCGGAAUCAUUGGGUUUAAAAGGGUCCGCACGGCGGACUGAAUAAGAACAGGGGGGAAAUGAAAGUCUGACAGCUCAACUGUAGACACUUGCCACUGAAACUGUUAGCCUUAAGUCAUAAGGAAGAGGUUAGAAUGACGCGGUGUAGCGGUGAAAUGCAUAAAUAUCACUCAGAAUACCGAGGGCGAAGGCAGAUCACUAAUAAUGUACUGACGAUGAUGGACGAAAGCGUAGGUAACAUAACAGGAUAUAGAUACCCUGGUAGUCUCACGCCGUAAACGAUGGUUACUAGCUGUUUGGUCGAUUGAGACUGAGUGGCUAAGCGAAAGUGAUAAGUAACCCACCUGGGGAGUACGUUCGCAAGAAUGAAACUCAAAGGAAUUGACGGGGGCCCGCACAAGCGGUGGAGCAUGUGGUUUAAUUCGAUGAUACGCGAGGAACCUUACCAGGGCUUAAAUGUAGUUUGACAGAUUUGGAAACAGAUUUUUCUUCGGACAGAUUACAAGGUGCUGCAUGGUUGUCGUCAGCUCGUGCCGUGAGGUGUCAGGUUAAGUCCUAUAACGAGCGCAACCCCUGUGGUUAGUUGCCAGCGAGUCAAGUCGGGAACUCUAGCCAGACUGCCGGUGCAAACCGUGAGGAAGGUGGGGAUGACGUCAAAUCAUCACGGCCCUUACGUCCUGGGCCACACACGUGCUACAAUGGUAGGGACAGAGAGCAGCCACUUCGCGAGAAGGAGCGAAUCUUCAAACCCUAUCACAGUUCGGAUCGCAGUCUGCAACUCGACUGCGUGAAGCUGGAAUCGCUAGUAAUCGGAUAUCAGCCAUGAUCCGGUGAAUACGUUCCCGGGCCUUGUACACACCGCCCGUCAAGCCAUGGAAGCUGGGGGUACCUGAAGUCCGUUACCGUAAGGAG